Molecule: ribosomal RNA, 276 nt
Filed under: uncultured soil bacterium
Lineage: Bacteria
Description: partial 16S ribosomal RNA
Rfam family: Bacterial small subunit ribosomal RNA
Source: RNAcentral
AGAAUGAACGCUGGCGGCGUGCUUUACACAUGCAAGUCGAGCGAGGCGGGGAGCAAUCCCCAGUCGAGCGGCGAACGGGUGAGUAACGCGUGGAUAACCUACCUCGAGGUGGGGGAUAACCCGGGGAAACUCGGGCUAAUACCGCAUAUGACUGUAAGGUCAAAGGGGGCCGCAAGGCUCUCGCCAUGAGAGGGUCCGCGUACGAUUAGCUAGUUGGUAGGUAAUGGCCUACCAAGGCGACGAUCGUUGGCCGGCCUGAGAGGGUGAGUCGGACCG